This 395-nucleotide ribosomal RNA is filed under the name uncultured bacterium. RNAcentral's name for it is "bacterial SSU rRNA". It matches the Rfam family "Bacterial small subunit ribosomal RNA", at positions 402 to 809 of the family's 1533-position model. The record is from RNAcentral.
UGAGGGAUGACGGCCUUCGGGUUGUAAGCCUCUUUCAGCAGGGAAGAAGCGAAAGUGACGGUACCUGCAGAAGAAGCGCCGGCUAACUACGUGCCAGCAGCCGCGGUAAUACGUAGGGCGCGAGCGUUGUCCGGAAUUAUUGGGCGUAAGGAGCUCGUAGGCGGCUUGUCACGUCGGUUGUGAAAGCCCGGGGCUUAACCCCGGGUCUGCAGUCGAUACGGGCAGGCUAGAGUUCGGUAGGGGAGAUCGGAAUUCCUGGUGUAGCGGUGAAAUGCGCAGAUAUCAGGAGGAACACCGGUGGCGAAGGCGGAUCUCUGGGCCGAUACUGACGCUGAGGAGCGAAAGCGUGGGGAGCGAACAGGAUUAGAUACCCUGGUAGUCCACGCCGUAAACGG